RNAcentral lists this ribosomal RNA (253 nucleotides) under uncultured bacterium. RNAcentral describes it as "partial 16S ribosomal RNA". It matches the Rfam family "Bacterial small subunit ribosomal RNA", at positions 524 to 776 of the family's 1533-position model. The record is from RNAcentral.
UACGUAGGGAGCAAGCGUUGUUCGGAUUUACUGGGCGUAAAGAGCGCGCAGGCGGUCGUUCAAGUCGCGUGUGAAAGCCCCCGGCUCAACUGGGGAGGGUCACGCGAUACUGAUCGACUCGAAGGCAGGAGAGGGUAGUGGAAUUCCCGGUGUAGUGGUGAAAUGCGUAGAUAUCGGGAGGAACACCAGUGGCGAAGGCGACUACCUGGCCUGUUCUUGACGCUGAGGCGCGAAAGCUAGGGGAGCAAACGGG